RNAcentral lists this ribosomal RNA (253 nucleotides) under uncultured bacterium. RNAcentral's name for it is "partial 16S ribosomal RNA". It matches the Rfam family "Bacterial small subunit ribosomal RNA", at positions 524 to 776 of the family's 1533-position model. The record is from RNAcentral.
UACGAAGGGGGCUAGCGUUGCUCGGAAUCACUGGGCGUAAAGCGCACGUAGGCGGCUUCUUAAGUCAGGGGUGAAAUCCUGGAGCUCAACUCCAGAACUGCCUUUGAUACUGGGAGGCUCGAGUCCGGGAGAGGUGAGUGGAACUGCGAGUGUAGAGGUGAAAUUCGUAGAUAUUCGCAAGAACACCAGUGGCGAAGGCGGCUCGCUGGCCCGUUACUGACGCUGAGGUGCGAAAGCGUGGGGAGCAAACAGG